CAAAUACAGAAUUGGGGGCUU
This 21-nucleotide non-coding RNA is filed under the name Arabidopsis thaliana (thale cress). The record is from RNAcentral. Lineage: Eukaryota; Viridiplantae; Streptophyta; Magnoliopsida; Brassicales; Brassicaceae.